UCCUACGGGAGGCAGCAGUGGGGAGUCUUCCGCAAUGGACGAAAGUCUGACGGAGCAACGCCGCGUGAGUGAAGAAGGUUUUCGGAUCGUAAAGCUCUUUCGUUAGGGACGAACGUGCUCUUUGUGAAUAAUGAGGAGUAAUGACGGUACCUAAAUAAGAAGCCACGGCUAACUACGUGCCAGCAGCCGCGGUAAUACGGGAGCCAGCAGCCGCGGUAAUACGGGAGCCAGCAGCCGCGGUAAUACGGGAGCCAGCAGCCGCGGUAAUACAGACCUACGGGAGGCAGCAGUGGGGAAUUUUGGACAAUGGGCGUAAGCCUGAUCCAGCAGCCGCGGUAAU
Molecule: ribosomal RNA, 340 nt
Filed under: uncultured bacterium
Lineage: Bacteria
Description: bacterial SSU rRNA
Rfam family: Bacterial small subunit ribosomal RNA (bases 1-208)
Source: RNAcentral